RNAcentral lists this unclassified non-coding RNA (159 nucleotides) under uncultured Venturiales. RNAcentral's name for it is "sequence contains ITS1". Lineage: Eukaryota; Fungi; Ascomycota; Dothideomycetes. The record is from RNAcentral.
CCGAGCGUGACCCCCCUGUAUAUUUAAGGGGGGUGCCUCCCGUCCUUUGCAGGCCCUUAGGGGCUGUCAGACUUUGCUUCGGCGGGGUUGCCCCGCCGGAACACCCUCAAGAAAAUCUCGAAAAAACCGUUCCGUCCGAGCGUUGCGAUAAUAAACAAA